ACGCUCGACACCUACGGGAGACAGCAGUGGGGAAUAUUGCACAAUGGGGGAAACCCUGAUGCAGCGACGCCGCGUGAGCGAAGAAGUAUUUCGGUAUGUAAAGCUCUAUCAGCAGGGAAGAAAGUGACGGUACCUGACUAAGAAGCCCCGGCUAACUACGUGCCAGCAGCCGCGGUAAUCUGAGCGGCUGGCAAGGC
Molecule: ribosomal RNA, 197 nt
Filed under: uncultured bacterium
Lineage: Bacteria
Description: partial 16S ribosomal RNA
Rfam family: Bacterial small subunit ribosomal RNA
Source: RNAcentral